RNAcentral lists this ribosomal RNA (494 nucleotides) under uncultured bacterium. RNAcentral describes it as "partial 16S ribosomal RNA". It matches the Rfam family "Bacterial small subunit ribosomal RNA", at positions 28 to 523 of the family's 1533-position model. The record is from RNAcentral.
GAUGAACGCUAGCGGCAGGCCUAACACAUGCAAGUCGAGGGGUAGUUACUUUCGGGUAAUGAGACCGGCGCACGGGUGCGUAACGCGUAUGCAAUCUACCUUUUACAGGGGAAAAGCACAGUGACAUUUGGAUUAAUGCCCCAUAGUAUGUAUGAAUCGCAUUGUUUAUACAUUAAAGUUCCAACGGUAAAAGAUGAGCAUGCGUUCCAUUAGUUAGUUGGUAAGGUAACGGCUUACCAAGACGAUGAUGGGUAGGGGUCCUGAGAGGGAGAUCCCCCACAUUGGUACUGAGACACGGACCAGACUCCGACGGGAGGCAGCAGGGAGGAAUAUUGGACAAUGGGCGCAAGCGUGAUCCAGCCAUGCCGCGUGCAGGAAGAAGCAUCUAUGGUGUGUAAACUGCUUUUGUACGGGAAGAAACACUCCCUCGUGAGGGAGCUUGACGGUACCGUAAGACUAAGGCUCGGCUAACUCCGUGCCAGCAGCCGCCGUAA